Molecule: long non-coding RNA, 706 nt
Organism: Homo sapiens (human)
Lineage: Eukaryota; Metazoa; Chordata; Mammalia; Primates; Hominidae
Source: Ensembl
GAGCCAGCCCAGCCCUGCCGACCGCAGCACUCUCGGAAGGGCUCGGCCACCCGGAGCCUCGUCACGAGUCUUACCCAGGGUUCGGAGCGGGCCUGCAAGAAGGGGCAGGCCAGGCUGGGGCUGCAAGGCAGGGUCUUCCCUUGGAGAAGGGACCUGACUCUAUUAUUAAGAGAACGAAAGAGGCACUUGCCCUACAGUGUGUAGAGCAUGGCCUCUCUCCUGGAAUGGCAUCUUAUACAUAUAACCCAUUGGAGCCAAGAGUUUUACCUUUACAUGCAACUACAUUUUCAGAGAUUGAUUUGACUUCCUCUUCAGAUGUUUUUUCUAUUCAAGAGGUAAAACAUAGGGAUAUUUGGACUCUCAGAACAGCGGUCUGGAUUUUCCUCUUUGACCUUUGCUUACAUGGGGUUCCUCAGAAAGCAGAGUCUCAGAUAAAAUAUAUAUGCUAUAUCUUUUGAAGAACGCAGUUCCAGGGAAGCAGGAGAAAAGAAAAGGAGAAUGAGUCAGACAAGCAAGGAAAGCGACCGGAAUUGUGCCCCAAAGAGCUGGCGGCUGCGUGGUAGGACAUGCAUACUGUGUUUAAGCUCCCAUUUCACCUUUCAUUUUCUGAAAGACCUGUGAACUGCCGCAUCUCACAGGGGAAGAACCCACAGAACAUUAACAUCUCCAUUUCCAGGCUGCAGAGGUACCAAGCCAGUGGAUCCUC